RNAcentral lists this long non-coding RNA (361 nucleotides) under Setaria viridis. Its description in RNAcentral is "long non-coding RNA (SVIR_LNC011213)". The record is from RNAcentral. Lineage: Eukaryota; Viridiplantae; Streptophyta; Magnoliopsida; Poales; Poaceae.
GAGGGAGCAAGGACACGAUACCAACAAAUUGAUUAAUACUAUGGAGGUGAUACUGGUGAUCGCGAUGGAUGGGAAUUGCUGCUGAAAAUGUAAGCAUCCGAGCGUACAAGACGGUCUUUCACCUAUUGAUUGAGAGGUUGAGAUAGGGCCUACCACCAUCCCUAAAUCUAGCAAGGCAGGUGCCCUAAAAUGUGGUAAAACUAACUUUUUACGACUCUUUUGGUACAACCUUUUACACUCUUUGAUAAAAAGCAAGACGGAUAUUUCUUUUCAUCUAGUUGUGACACACGAAGGGCUCAUUUGGUACAUCUUCACCAGCUCACCUCUCUGACUCCACUCUGAAUUUGGAAAUUAAGUUUUG